AUAACAAGGGAGGGGAGGUAUCACCAAGAUUCCAAAAUAAUAUUCAUUCUCUUUCAAUCUCAACCCUUCAAGUCUACACAUCCAAGGGUCCAAAAAAUGUCCCUCUCACAAACUAUCUUUUGAAUGGCGGUUUGGUAAAUAAAUGGGAUUUUCAAUGGCAAGUACUGGGACUGUGUUUUUUUUCCUUGCCAGUACAAACAGGCCAUUGCACGGCUGAAUCUCUCUCACACACACGGCUGAAGCUCUCUCUCGCUCUUGAAUUCAAAAGCCCAAUUUUUGGAUUCAAAAUUCAAAUCUCUCUCUCUCUCUCUCUCUCUCUCUCUCUCUCUCUCGGUACUUCAUUCACGGAACACCCCCUCCAUCUCCGGCGUUGGCCCUCAUCAAGUGUGAAGAGGAAGAGAGAGAGAAUGUGAGUGUGUGUUUUAAAACGACACCGAAUCAGGAACCAUGGGGAACGCCAUUUCCAGUCGAGCCAGCAGCCGUCGGAGAUCGGCGAUGAGAUCGAUCGGGUUCUGAAGAAAGUUCAAGAGGGCGUCGAUCUUUUUGACAAUAUCUGGAACAAGGAACCACAGGAAACACCAUUUCCAGUCGAGCCAGCAGCCGUUGGAGAUCGGCGAUGGCGACCGCCGGGAAACCCCUCGCGGCCUCCUCCACUUCUGCCGAACCGUUCGAUUUCUCCGCAGGUGUAUUUUGUGUAUCAUAACCGAAGACUAGAAGGUAUUUUCUUUCCUCUUUUAUUUUCUUUAUUUUGCUGCACAGUCGAUUUUAGUUCUAAAUCAAUUUUUGCUUGAGUAAAAUUUUUGUUCAUUGUUGAAAAGGUCUGCAUGGUGGAUGUCCUAACCAGACUCAAAAACGGUCCUCUCAAGUGCAAUGUGAUUGGUUUAGAUUGAGAUUAGUUUUUGUGAGGGUAUUUGGCGAACCAUCGAUUCUGCAAAAAGUCGACCACUUCUGUUGCUCUCAGACGAAAUCGUGGGGUGUCCAAACCCAAUUAUUUCAGCAAAAUCUUACCGGUAUAGCUUUCAUAUUAAUUAGAUGGGUAUCAG
Rhododendron vialii is the source of this 1043-nucleotide long non-coding RNA. RefSeq lists it as uncharacterized. The transcript has 4 exons. Lineage: Eukaryota; Viridiplantae; Streptophyta; Magnoliopsida; Ericales; Ericaceae. The record is from RefSeq and is a predicted model, not a curated record.